ACUGUGCUCUAGUCGGUCCUCGUCGUACUCUAGUCGGUCCCGCGGAGUUGGACAGAGAGCGGGCUUCCUGCUAGACGGUGGGAUACGGUAGAUGUUGAGAGCGGCUGCUCUCUGGACAUCUCUGCUUAAACAUAGACAGGGUUGGAGUGCCGAGCAAUAGAGGUGGCGAGGGGUCGCCCACAGACUGUGCGGCGGUGCUCCAAGUGUGGCCAGGGUGUAGAGGUCGCAAACAGGGAAGGGGAGGUCCCAAGUAGGUGGCCCCAACUACAAGGAGCCAGCCGUUCGGUUUGGCUCAUGCGGGGCAUGUUGGGGCGGCCCAGGAUUACAUCCCGCUUUGUAUGUAGCCCAUCUUCCGUUGCAACUCUCGGGGCUAGUCCAGCCCUGGCUGUCGUGUUGGAAAGAGAAAUGCUAGAAGAUUCUUAAGGCAGAAUAGUUACAUCAUUUAUUGUAGGAAAAAAUCUAGGUCUGAAGCCCAAAUCAGAAUUUGCCCUUUCUGAGCCUAACUUUUCAAUUCUGUAAUGCUGGGUAAAAAUAAUUAUUGACUUGAAAGAUUUCGAGAAAUGUAUGGACUGUCACAUAACACAGUGAUGAGUGUGUCUGCAGAAAGCCAAAACGGGAAAGCUGGGAAAACACUGUCCCGGAGACGCUCCCCACCACGCCCCCCGGGAGCCUUGCUCUGUUGCCCAGAGCAAGACUCUGGGCUGGAGUGUGGUGGUGUGAUCUUGGCUCACUGCAACCUCCGCCUCCCAGGUUCCAGUGAUUCUCCUGCCUCAGCCUCCCGAGACGCUGGGAUUACAGGCUCACGCC
This 807-nucleotide long non-coding RNA is filed under the name Homo sapiens (human). RNAcentral describes it as "HSALNT0363290". The record is from RNAcentral. Lineage: Eukaryota; Metazoa; Chordata; Mammalia; Primates; Hominidae.